Drosophila rhopaloa is the source of this 424-nucleotide long non-coding RNA. RefSeq lists it as uncharacterized. The record is from RefSeq and is a predicted model, not a curated record. NCBI's taxonomy places the organism in Eukaryota, Metazoa, Arthropoda, Insecta, Diptera, Drosophilidae. The transcript is spliced from 4 exons.
GAGCUCGUCUGGAGCACAACUCGUUUCGGAACUAAAUAUAUCAAAAAGUAACAAAAUUAUAAGUAAAGCGACCGAAUUUUAUUGGAACACUUAUCACUACUACACACUACUACACUUGACAUUGCUUUUUCGACGAUGGCAAAUAAUGGACUUGCACUUGUUUUUCAACAAAACUGACGGGGCAAAUGAGAAGACAUACAAAUUGUUUACAACACAGAGGGGAUAGUCGGUGUUCACCAGCUGACAGCCAAUGCCUAGCCAUGUUAGAGCAUAUUGAAGAUCAUUUUAUAUAAUCAAGUUAGGAUUCGCCUUAUAGAAGUUAACCUAUGUUCAAACCGAUGGUACCGGUCCCGCUGGACGAGUAGUUUGCAUCGGUUUUUAAUUAAUUAUUGUUAAAAAAAAAUAAACCAAUCAUCAAACUUUA